CUACCAUGCAGUCGAGGGGUAGAACACUUCGGUGUUUGAGACCGGCGCACGGGUGCGUAACGCGUAUGCAAUCUACCUUGUACAGGGGAAUAGCCCAGAGAAAUUUGGAUUAAUGCCCCAUAGUAUAUAACCUUCGCAUGUUGGUUAUAUUAAAGUUCCAACGGUACAAGAUGAGCAUGCGUCCCAUUAGUUAGUUGGUAAGGUAACGGCUUACCAAGACGAUGAUGGGUAGGGGUCCUGAGAGGGAGAUCCCCCACACUGGUACUGAGACACGGACCAGACUCCUACGGGAGGCAGCAGUGAGGAAUAUUGGUCAAUGGUCGCAAGACUGAACCAGCCAUGCCGCGUGCAGGAAGACGGUCCUAUGGAUUGUAAACUGCUUUUAUACAGGAAGAAACCCUCCCACGUGUGGGAGCUUGACGGUACUGUAGGAAUAAGGAUCGGCUAACUCCGUGCCAGCAGCCGCGGUAAUACGGAGGAUCCAAGCGUUAUCCGGAAUCAUUGGGUUUAAAGGGUCCGUAGGCGGUCUUAUAAGUCAGUGGUGAAAGCCCAUCGCUCAACGAUGGAACUGCCAUUGAUACUGUAAGACUUGAAUGCUUAGGAAGUAACUAGAAUAUGUAGUGUAGCGGUGAAAUGCUUAGAUAUUACAUGGAAUACCAAUUGCGAAGGCAGGUUACUACUAAGUGAUUGACGCUGAUGGACGAAAGCGUGGGGAGCGAACAGGAUUAGAUACCCUGGUAGUCCACGCCGUAAACGAUGGAUACUAGCUGUUCGGAGCAAUCUGAGU
Molecule: ribosomal RNA, 787 nt
Filed under: uncultured bacterium
Lineage: Bacteria
Description: bacterial SSU rRNA
Rfam family: Bacterial small subunit ribosomal RNA
Source: RNAcentral